Molecule: unclassified non-coding RNA, 2252 nt
Filed under: Leguminivora glycinivorella
Lineage: Eukaryota; Metazoa; Arthropoda; Insecta; Lepidoptera; Tortricidae
Description: 6-phosphofructo-2-kinase/fructose-2,6-bisphosphatase, transcript variant X5
Source: RNAcentral
UCAAGCGCACGCGCGGUGUUAUAUCCGUAAAAUAUGUAUGUUUCCUGAUGAGACUUUACUUUACGUGUGUAGAGCUGGACUAUACGUGUGGUGUUCCAACAGUAGUGUUAUUUUAGUGCGUUCCUGACGAUGGCAGAGUGCCCGAGCCCGCACAGAGGCAGUGUCUGCCCGACGCUCGCCGGAGCCAUUGUGCUGUACUUGUAUUUGUUUCGCGUCCUUGUACUUGACGUAAUUUCAUUACCGACGGAGUGACCAUGAGACUUGCGAUUUAUAGGAUCGUCUGAUUUUUUAAAAAGGUGUUAAUGUGAGCGUUUCAUGUGCGUAAACCACUUUAAAUUGCAACAUAGUGUUGGAAUUAGUGUCUUUUAGUGAUUUCUAAAAACAUUACAGCUUUAGAAUUUCUGAUAAGGAGUGUAACCACAGUUUAAAUUUAAUCCGGAGAUAUCUAUAAAAUGUGGCUACCGACGUAACUGCGCAUCGUAAUCGUAACGUAACAAGCCGCGUGCGCAAGCGAGAGCGGCAUGGCAUGACAUAUAUCCGUCGCGCUUCCAUAAAUUUCCACAAUAUCAGCUGAUAUCUGAACGUCGGCCGCGGCGGUCGUGUAGUCUACUCCCUCAGUGAUGCCGCGAUAGUGAGCCGCCAUGGAAGUGCUAAACGCGUCGCCCUCGCUCCGGCAGCGGGGCGUCAGUGCCAGUGAGAACCAUGAGUUAAACCAGUGCCCUAGUGUCAUGUCUGCGGAAACCAAGCGACUCCUCCCGCCUACAACGGAGACCAUCAUGACCAAACCCUUCCCCAUUAGAGGUGAAAGGGCGAACUACGUGAACAUUCCCCAUGUGAUCGCCAUGGUGGGGCUCCCGGCGCGGGGCAAGACCUACAUCUCCAAGAAGCUCUCCCGGUACCUCAACUGGAUAGGAAUCAAUACAAGGGUAUUCAACCUAGGCGAGUACCGGCGGCAUGCCACGAGCGCAUACACGUCACACGAGUUCUUCAGAGCAGAUAACAAAGAGGCCAUGGCGAUUAGACAGCAGUGCGCGCUGGACGCUUUAAAAGACGUUUGCGAGUGGCUAGUCAAAGGGGGUGAGGUCGCGGUGUUCGACGCGACGAAUUCAACGCGGGAGCGCAGGCGCAUGAUCCGCGACAUCGUAGUACACGAGAUGGGAUUCAAACUGUUCUUCGUUGAAUCCAUCUGUGAUGACCCUCGCAUUAUUGAGCAAAACAUUAUGGAAGUGAAAGUGAGUAGCCCAGAUUACACAAACAUACAGAACACGGACAACGUUCUCAACGACUUCCUCCUCCGCAUCGAGCACUACAAGGAGAAGUACGAGCCGCUGGAGGAGAACCUGGAGUCCGACUACAGCUUCAUGAAGAUCUACGACACGGGAGAGAAGGUAAAAAAGGUAGUGGUGCACAAACAUGAAGGACACAUACAGAGCCGGAUAGUCUACUACCUGAUGAACAUACACAUAGUGCCACGGACCAUAUAUUUGACUAGGCACGGUGAAAGCAUGCACAACAUCGUCGGCCGUAUCGGAGGCGACAGCGCUCUCUCUCCCCGCGGCACGCAAUACGCCAGCGCCCUAGCGCGCUACAUCGACGCCCAGGCCAUCCCUGGGCUACGUGUAUGGACGUCGUGGAUGCGACGCGCCAUACAGACGGUUAAAGACGUCAAGGCACCGCAGGAAAGGUGGAAGGCGCUUAAUGAGAUCGAUGCUGGCAUCUGCGAAGAGAUGACCUACGCCGAGAUCCAAGAAAAGUACCCUUCAGACUUCAACGCGCGGGACGCCAACAAGUUCGCGUACAGAUACCCCCGAGGGGAAAGUUACGAAGACUUAGUGGCGAGACUCGAACCUGUGAUCAUGGAGUUGGAGAGACAGGGGAACGUACUGGUGGUGUCACAUCAGGCGGUCAUGCGGUGUCUACUGGCGUACUUCCUUGACAAAUCUGCUGAGGAGCUGCCUUACCUCCACGUGCCACUACACACGGUGAUCAAACUAACGCCAGUCGCGUAUGGCUGCCGUGAAGAACAUGUUGCAUUGGCCGUGGACGCCGUCGACACACACCGCCCCAAGCCCUCUGUGAGUACCAUGUCUCAUCCACGCCAGUAGGUGGCAGCACUAUACGGUGAUCAAACUAACGCCAGUCGCGUAUGGCUGCCGUGAAGAACAUGUUGCAUUGGCCGUGGACGCCGUCGACACACACCGCCCCAAGCCCUCUGGCGAGGAGGAGGAAGACAAAACCGACAUAUAGGGCAC